RNAcentral lists this ribosomal RNA (327 nucleotides) under uncultured bacterium. Its description in RNAcentral is "bacterial SSU rRNA". It matches the Rfam family "Bacterial small subunit ribosomal RNA", at positions 8 to 334 of the family's 1533-position model. The record is from RNAcentral.
AGGGUUUGAUUCUGGCUCAGGACGAACGCUGGCGGCACGCUUAACACAUGCAAGUCGAACGGUGAAGAGAAGCUUGCUUCUCGGAACAGUGGCGGACGGGUGAGUAACACGUGAGCAACCUGCCUUUAAGAGGGGGAUAACGUUUGGAAACGAACGCUAAUACCGCAUAACAUAGAAGAUUCGCAUGUUUCUUCUAUCAAAGAUUUAUCGCUUAAAGAUGGGCUCGCGUCUGAUUAGCUGGUUGGUGAGGUAACGGCUCACCAAGGCGACGAUCAGUAGCCGUACUGAGAGGUAGAACGGCCACAUUGGGACUGAGACACGGCCCAG